This is a long non-coding RNA of Branchiostoma floridae (Florida lancelet), 1175 nucleotides long. RefSeq lists it as uncharacterized. The record is from RefSeq and is a predicted model, not a curated record. Lineage: Eukaryota; Metazoa; Chordata; Leptocardii; Amphioxiformes; Branchiostomatidae. The transcript is spliced from 4 exons.
CAACUGAAUCCCAAAUACGUGAACUGUUUGGCUCCGAAGACAAAUGAUGCGCGUCCCUACUCCAAGGAAGCCUAAGCGAUCUGGAUGUGUUUCCAUGGCAACCUUGCUGUUGUUCAUGGGUGUGACGGUUCUGCUGAUCCUGAUCCAACCGGCUGCAGCAGAGCGUCCCGAACGUUCGCUCCUUUCCAUAAUGGAAGACGAUGAGGAUGGGACAGAAGAGAUUGAGGACACCGCAGGUGAGGUCGAAAGGGAUGGAGAGCAUGUCCGUGUGGCACGUUCCCUUCUUUGGCUUUGGGGCACUCGCGUAAGAUGUUAUUGUGUGAGAUACUGCACGAGGAGGAGCUGCAGUGGAUGGUGGUAUAGUCGUCGCUGCAGUGAGACCCGUUACUGCUGCCAGCACAAGUGUGACUUUAUCGUGCACUAAAUACUAGUCAAGCCAAGCAAUGUGUUGGUCUUUCAUAAAUUACUGUAGUAACUGAUAGAUGGAUACACAUUUCGGCUAUUAUCCUGCUGAAAUUCAUAGUAAAAAGCUAACUACAAGCUAUACCUUAAGUUUGACAAGUUUAGCAUGGAUAGAUAUUGAGGAACUGAUAAAUAUUCAUCAGUAUAUAAGCACUUUCUUACUUUAUUUUGAAGCGACUAUAACCAGUACUAUUUAAUGUUAACCUAUGGGUGGUCAGAUUCUUUCAUUUCUCAUAAGCACUCUGCAGACUUGUAAUGUGUUGUCUUCUCUUACAUCAUUUAUCAAUGACUAAAAUCAUAGUGCACAUCAUGAAGUGGUGUCGUAGAAACUUUCCUUACAAAGCCGCUAGAUGUCGCUGUCACAUGGACGAUAAGGCAUGAUCGAAUCAGACAUGACUAAGGUUUUCUGUUGUUCAUUAUACAAUACAGUGAUGAAUAUUAUAUCUAAGUAUUGUUAAAAUUAGAACAUCAUGAUAUGGACUCUGGUUACUAACACGUCAGUUUUGUUUUUAUUGCUAUUUACUGACAUUCUGUGAAAAGUACUGUAGAUUUUGAUUCAUAUGGGUUGAGAGGAAUGACAAGGUUUCUGCACGUACACGUGGCAAUAAAACAUUACUCAACAGCAAUGCCCUAAUAAAUGUUAUCUUUCUCCAUCAAUCCAGUAAAUUGAAUGUUAUCUUUCUCCAUCAAUCCAGUAAAUUGAAUGUUGUCUU